This 254-nucleotide ribosomal RNA is filed under the name uncultured bacterium. RNAcentral's name for it is "partial 16S ribosomal RNA". It matches the Rfam family "Bacterial small subunit ribosomal RNA", at positions 524 to 776 of the family's 1533-position model. The record is from RNAcentral.
UACGUAGGGAGCAAGCGUUGUCCGGAUUUAUUGGGCGUAAAGAGCUCGUAGGCGGUUUGGUAAGUCGGAUGUGAAAUCUCCAGGCUCAACCUGGAGGGGUCAUUCGAGACUGCUAUGACUAGAGUUCGGUAGAGGAGUGUGGAAUUCCUUGUGGAGCGGUGAAAUGCGCAGAUAUCAGGAGGAACACCCGUAGCGAAGGCGGCACUCUGGGCCGAUACUGACGCUGAGGAGCGAAAGCGUGGGGAGCAAACAGG